UUUUUCCAAACCAGAAGAUGAUAAAGCACUUCCCACUACUGGAUGAAGACAAAAGAGAGUGUCAUCAAUGCUGCAGCAGCCCAUGAGCACUGGGAUUUCAUACCCUCUGAGCAAGGUCAAGCUUGGUAUUUUCCACCUUGGCGGCGUUACAUCCCUGCAGCAGGGAUAGGAAAAUGGAAUCCAUGUAGCUGUCACAGCAAAGCCAGCUCCCAGGUUUUGCAGCGCUGCCACCCUUUCAUCACAUUGCACCUCUGCCGCCUUGUUGUAUGCUUCUGUUGGUCUAAAGAAGGUGCUGCGCAUCAUCAUCUCUUUCCACUCCCUGGCACCAGACCACUUCCCCUGCAGGCUCCUACUAAGGGAGAAAACUGGAAGUUCAACAAGAACAACUUAAAACAGGACAAAAGAACAAUCAUGAAAUGAAAGAGGUACUGAAAAAACACACUCAGAAAAACCUGUUGGUCAACAUCAGUUUUUUCAGCUCUUCUUGUCAAAGCUUCAGCUUUUGCUAGAGUGUACAGGAGAAAGGUCAGGAAUAAUUGUGAGGGCUGGAACCCACAGAGUAUAAAGAUUCCCAUUAAAUAUUUUGUCUUGCAGCCAGCUGUUUCCUGACAUAAACUGGGCACAAUCCUUGUUAGCCCACUGCUCUACCACAAUUUUAAUCUGGAGACUCAUGAAACAACUCAGCAAGAUGAGAAAACUAAAUAAUUUGAAAAAUAUUUUUAUGGUAAAUUUAUAUUUCAGUAACAUAUGGAUGCAGAACAAGAUCUCAGGAAGCAUUUUAUUAUGGACUUUGUGAAAAUUAGUAAAAGCAGUUCAAACUGGCUAAAAUGUUGCAGCAUUCUCCGAAUUGCUACUACAGGGUUUGUUUUCACUAUAUAUCAGGUCGUUUGUGUUUCAGAAGUGUAAAUGAUCUUUGGAGUUGAAUA
Non-coding RNA from Phalacrocorax carbo (great cormorant), 926 nucleotides. NCBI's taxonomy places the organism in Eukaryota, Metazoa, Chordata, Aves, Suliformes, Phalacrocoracidae. The record is from RefSeq and is a predicted model, not a curated record.